GGUGAAAAGCACCCCGGAAGGGGAGUGAAAUAGAACCUGAAACCGUGUGCUUACAAGUAGUCAGAGCCCGUUAAUGGGUGAUGGCGUGCCUUUUGUAGAAUGAACCGGCGAGUUACGAUUUGAUGCAAGGUUAAGCAGUAAAUGUGGAGCCGUAGCGAAAGCGAGUCUGAAUAGGGCGUUUAGUAUUUGGUCGUAGACCCGAAACCAGGUGAUCUACCCUUGGUCAGGUUGAAGUUCAGGUAACACUGAAUGGAGGACCGAACCGACUUACGUUGAAAAGUGAGCGGAUGAACUGAGGGUAGCGGAGAAAUUCCAAUCGAACCUGGAGAUAGCUGGUUCUCUCCGAAAUAGCUUUAGGGCUAGCCUCAAGUGAUGAUUAUUGGAGGUAGAGCACUGUUUGGACGAGGGGCCCCUCUCGGGUUACCGA
Molecule: ribosomal RNA, 427 nt
Filed under: Staphylococcus aureus
Lineage: Bacteria; Bacillati; Bacillota; Bacilli; Caryophanales; Staphylococcaceae
Description: partial 23S ribosomal RNA
Rfam family: Bacterial large subunit ribosomal RNA
Source: RNAcentral